UUACCAAAAUGACCAUUUCAUUAAGCCAUUUAUGAACACAUCAAACUUACCAAAAAUCAUACCAUAAUUGAGUCCAAAAUCAAGCCAUAUCUCAUGGCAUGAUAUAUAUAUACAUCUCAAAACAUAUUCAAAGACUUCUAGCCUAUACAUGCCAUACUUCACUAUAUACAUUUCUGAAUAAGUACCAAAAAUAUAAUUCGAUAGUGUGGUGAGAUCCUUGACGAUCCCCUGAGCCUCC
This 238-nucleotide long non-coding RNA is filed under the name Gossypium barbadense (sea-island cotton). Its description in RNAcentral is "long non-coding RNA (GBAR_LNC004366)". Lineage: Eukaryota; Viridiplantae; Streptophyta; Magnoliopsida; Malvales; Malvaceae. The record is from RNAcentral.